RNAcentral lists this ribosomal RNA (485 nucleotides) under uncultured bacterium. RNAcentral describes it as "partial 16S ribosomal RNA". It matches the Rfam family "Bacterial small subunit ribosomal RNA", at positions 30 to 507 of the family's 1533-position model. The record is from RNAcentral.
AUUGAACGCUGGCGGCAGGCUUAACACAUGCAAGUCGAGCGGGGGAAGGUAGCUUGCUACCGGACCUAGCGGCGGACGGGUGAGUAAUGCUUAGGAAUCUGCCUAUUAGUGGGGGACAACAUCUCGAAAGGGAUGCUAAUACCGCAUACGUCCUACGGGAGAAAGCAGGGGAUCUUCGGACCUUGCGCUAAUAGAUGAGCCUAAGUCGGAUUAGCUAGUUGGUGGGGUAAAGGCCUACCAAGGCGACGAUCUGUAGCGGGUCUGAGAGGAUGAUCCGCCACACUGGGACUGAGACACGGCCCAGACUCCUACGGGAGGCAGCAGUGGGGAAUAUUGGACAAUGGGGGGAACCCUGAGCCAGCCAUGCCGCGUGUGUGAAGAAGGCCUUAUGGUUGUAAAGCACUUUAAGCGAGGAGGAGGCUACUUUAGUUAAUACCUAGAGAUAGUGGACGUUACUCGCAGAAUAAGCACCGGCUAACUCUGUG